AGCGGGAAGCCUGCUUCGAGAUGAGGACUCCCACCCACUUGAUGGGGUAAGGCUCCCAGUAGACGACUGGGUUGAUAGGCCGGAUCUGGAAGCCAGGUAACUGGUGGAGGUGACCGGUACUAAUAGGCCGAGGGCUUGUCCUCAGUUG
RNAcentral lists this ribosomal RNA (148 nucleotides) under Streptomyces sp. SID8366. Its description in RNAcentral is "partial 23S ribosomal RNA". It matches the Rfam family "Bacterial large subunit ribosomal RNA", at positions 2784 to 2925 of the family's 2925-position model. The record is from RNAcentral. Lineage: Bacteria; Bacillati; Actinomycetota; Actinomycetes; Kitasatosporales; Streptomycetaceae.